Molecule: ribosomal RNA, 529 nt
Filed under: uncultured bacterium
Lineage: Bacteria
Description: bacterial SSU rRNA
Rfam family: Bacterial small subunit ribosomal RNA
Source: RNAcentral
AUAUUAGGAGGAACACCAGUGGCGAAGGCGACUUACUGGACUGUAACUGACGCUGAGUCACGAAAGCGUGGGUAGCAAACAGGAUUAGAUACCCUGGUAGUCCACGCUGUAAACGAUGAGUGCUAGGUGUUGGGUAGCGAUAUUCAGUGCCGAAGUAAACACAAUAAGCACUCCGCCUGGGGAGUACGGUCGCAAGACUGAAACUCAAAGGAAUUGACGGGGACCCGCACAAGCAGCGGAGCAUGUGGUUUAAUUCGAAGCAACGCGAAGAACCUUACCAAGGCUUGACAUCCCCUUGACCGGCACAGAGAUGUGCCCUCUCCUUCGGGAGCAAGGGUGACAGGUGGUGCAUGGUUGUCGUCAGCUCGUGUCGUGAGAUGUUGGGUUAAGUCCCGCAACGAGCGCAACCCUUAUCCUUAGUUGCCAGCAGGUUAAGCUGGGCACUCUUAAGGAGACUGCCGAUUGAUAAAUCGGAGGAAGGUGGGGAUGACGUCAAAUCAUUCAUGCCCCUUAUUGUUUUGGGCUUACA